Molecule: ribosomal RNA, 211 nt
Filed under: uncultured bacterium
Lineage: Bacteria
Description: partial 16S ribosomal RNA
Rfam family: Bacterial small subunit ribosomal RNA
Source: RNAcentral
UUCAGAUCGCAGUCCGCAACUCGACUGCGUGAAGUCGGAAUCGCUAGUAAUCGCGGAUCAGCAUGCCGCGGUGAAUACGUUCCCGGGCCUUGUACACACCGCCCGUCACACCAUGAGAGUCGGGAACACCCGAAGCCCGUAGCCUAACUUUAACGAGGGGGCGCGGUCGAAGGUGGGUUCGAUAAUUGGGGUGAAGUCGUAACAAGGUAAC